Molecule: unclassified non-coding RNA, 378 nt
Filed under: plant metagenome
Description: partial contains 5.8S ribosomal RNA, internal transcribed spacer 2, and large subunit ribosomal RNA
Rfam family: 5.8S ribosomal RNA (bases 1-105)
Source: RNAcentral
GAAAUGCGAUAAGUAAUGUGAAUUGCAGAAUUCAGUGAAUCAUCGAAUCUUUGAACGCACCUUGCGCUCCUUGGUAUUCCUUGGAGCAUGCCUGUUUGAGUAUCAUGAAAUCUACAAAGUAAAUCUUUUGUUAACUCAAUUGGUUUCUACUUUGGUAUUGGAGGUCUUUGCAGCUUCACACCUGCUCCUCUUUGUUCAUUAGCUGGAUCUCAGUGUUAUGCUUGGUUCCACCCGGCGUGAUAAGUUAUCUAUCGCUGAGGACACUGUAAAAGGUGGCCAAGGUAAAUGCAGAUGAACCGCUUCUAAUAGUCCAUUGACUUGGACAAUACUUUUAUGAUCUGAUCUCAAAUCAGGUAGGACUACCCGCUGAACUUAAGC